CCUGACCUCUGAGGGUUCACAUUCUCAACAGCUCCAGGGCAGUCAAGGCAAUUCCAUUAGCAUAUCUGUUCUCCAGACAGAUAUUUUUAGCAGCAGAUAGCCUGAAUGCAUCCAAAGAAUGCACCUGUUAGAUGGAAAGCUAGAUCUGGCAACCAUACAAUCUAAUUUCAAGAGAGCCAAGUCAGUCGUGUGCUGAACUAUGGGACACAACAGGAAAUCUAUUGACUUUAGGCUCAUGACAGCUGUUUUGCAAAGUAGGUGAUGAGUGCUGAGAAGAGAAGAAGGCAGGAUAAAGCAACGGGAGGUGAGCAAGAAGAUCUCUCUGAGGAGUAGCAUCUGAGCAGAGAACUGAACUGAGGGGAGGCAUUCAAAUAAAGAGCUGGGUGGAGAGCACUGCGGAAGAAUUUUGGUCAAGGAACAGCAAGAAGGCUAAAAGCUCCAUCUGCUAAUGUUAGCCCGCUCCUUGGAAAGGCAUCUCUUUUCUACAUGAAGAAUCAGGCGUCACUAUUGAAUCGAUGGCAGCCUAGCCUCCCAUUUAUCUGUCCGAUAGAAUUUCUUGAGUGAAAAAUAUGUCCAAAUAUAAUCAAAGGGAAAAACUGAAUGUACUUCUGUUCGAGGUAUAGUCUGUGAAAAUGAAUAACAAUCCCACUUAUGCAUCUCUUAUUGACUAUGGAGCGUAUGAAAGAAAAACCUUAAGUAAAACCAGCAGAUCCAUUUGGAGUGGUAGAGCAAACUGUGUACAGUAUAAGCGCUACGCAACCUUUGCCACGAGGGAAGAAAUCAGCCAAGAUUGAAGUACAUCUGGAUCAAAACCAUGGCAACCAUAAAACCCAGCGAGAGAUAGGCUAUGCUUGGUGGCCUUAUUCUCUUUCUUUGCUAGACACUACUUCCUUUUCCCACUGUUGCCAGCCCAUGGCACAGAGGAGUGGAUAAGGAAAAGCAAACAUUUAUUGAAAGCCUGUGAUGUGUUAGGCACUUUACACAUCCUAACUCACUUCGUUUCUAUGAUCAUCUUCUGUGGUAGGUUACUAUUAUCCUCAUUUAGCAGAUGGGGAAACUGAGUCUCAGGAAGACUAGUUGGGAUCUAAAUCUGGGUCUAUCUGACUCCAUUAGCCCAUAUAUAUUUUUUUCAUGAUAUCAUGCUAGAUAAGAAAAAGAGAAAGGUGGAUGAUGGCAAAUAUUAUACCAUACCUCUUGGGACAUCGUACAUUGGUUAAGUAUUAUUCAUUUUAUCAAUUAUAUUGCCAUAGACACAUAAAAUUGCUGUAAUUGUCAUUCUAUGCUGUGACUUUCAGAAUCCCUGGCAAAGAAUGCCAUUUCCUAAUCAACCAAAUUUUCAAUUACUCCAUCUUGGUAAUCUCUUUACUUUCACUGUCCUGUUAAAUCCUGGAUAUACUUUAAUCAUCCUCGGGCUUUUAGCUCCCAUUUUCAGCUCUGCAUCUCCGCCUGGCCCUGUUAUCUCUUGGAUGUCUCAUCAUGAAAUUGGCUAGGUCAGAGUGUAUCACACAUCUCUUAUUCAUCUUCAGAGCUCCACCCAAUUCCACUCUUAUCUCUACCUGGAUUCUCAGUUUGAGCUACACCCUUCCCACCACUCCCCUUUUUUCACCAAUCCUCAUUCCUGACCUCGACUUUAUCCCCUU
Molecule: long non-coding RNA, 1640 nt
Organism: Equus caballus (horse)
Lineage: Eukaryota; Metazoa; Chordata; Mammalia; Perissodactyla; Equidae
Source: Ensembl